Molecule: ribosomal RNA, 586 nt
Filed under: uncultured bacterium
Lineage: Bacteria
Description: partial 16S ribosomal RNA
Rfam family: Bacterial small subunit ribosomal RNA
Source: RNAcentral
UGGGGAAUUUUGGACAAUGGGCGAAAGCCUGAUCCAGCAAUGCCGCGUGUGUGAAGAAGGCCUUCGGGUUGUAAAGCACUUUUGUCCGGAAAGAAAUCCUUGACUCUAAUACAGUCGGGGGAUGACGGUACCGGAAGAAUAAGCACCGGCUAACUACGUGCCAGCAGCCGCGGUAAUACGUAGGGUGCAAGCGUUAAUCGGAAUUACUGGGCGUAAAGCGUGCGCAGGCGGUUUGCUAAGACCGAUGUGAAAUCCCCGGGCUCAACCUGGGAACUGCAUUGGUGACUGGCAGGCUAGAGUAUGGCAGAGGGGGGUAGAAUUCCACGUGUAGCAGUGAAAUGCGUAGAGAUGUGGAGGAAUACCGAUGGCGAAGGCAGCCCCCUGGGCCAAUACUGACGCUCAUGCACGAAAGCGUGGGGAGCAAACAGGAUUAGAUACCCUGGUAGUCCACGCCCUAAAACGAUGUCAACUAGUUGUUGGGGAUUCAUUUCCUUAGUAACGUAGCUAACGCGUGAAGUUGACCGCCUGGGGAGUACGGUCGCAAGAUUAAAACUUAAAUGAAUUGACGGGGUCAUAGCUGUUUCCU